GAUGAACGCUGGCGGCGUGCCUAUUACAUGCAAGUCGAGCGAAUGGAUUAGGAGCUUGCUCUUAUGAAGUUAGCGGCGGACGGGUGAGUAACACGUGGGUAACCUGCCCAUAAGACUGGGAUAACUCCGGGAAACCGGGGCUAAUACCGGAUAACAUUUUGAACCGCAUGGUUCGAAAUUGAAAGGCGGCUUCGGCUGUCACUUAUGGAUGGACCCGCGUCGCAUUAGCUAGUUGGUGAGGUAACGGCUCACCAAGGCAACGAUGCGUAGCCGACCUGAGAGGGUGAUCGGCCACACUGGGACUGAGACACGGCCCAGACUCCUACGGGAGGCAGCAGUAGGGAAUCUUCCGCAAUGGACGAAAGUCUGACGGAGCAACGCCGCGUGAGUGAGGAAGGCUUUCGGGUCGUAAAACUCUGUUGUUAGGGAAGAACAAGUGCUAGUUGAAUAAGCUGGCACCUUGACGGUACCUAACCAGAAAGCCACGGCUAACUACGUGCCAGCCGCCGCAGUAA
This 515-nucleotide ribosomal RNA is filed under the name uncultured bacterium. Its description in RNAcentral is "partial 16S ribosomal RNA". It matches the Rfam family "Bacterial small subunit ribosomal RNA", at positions 28 to 523 of the family's 1533-position model. The record is from RNAcentral.